UGAGGAAUAUUGGUCAAUGGGCGAGAGCCUGAACCAGCCAAGUCGCGUGAGGGAAGACGGUCCUAUGGAUUGUAAACCUCUUUUGCCGGGGAGCAAAGAGCGGUACGUGUACCGCGCCGAGAGUACCCGGAGAAAAAGCAUCGGCUAACUCCGUGCCAGCAGCCGCGGUAAUACGGAGGAUGCGAGCGUUAUCCGGAUUUAUUGGGUUUAAAGGGUGCGCAGGCGGCGCGUUAAGUCAGCGGUAAAAUUUCGGGGCUCAACCCCGACGAGCCGUUGAAACUGGCGUGCUAGAGUGGGCGAGAA
Molecule: ribosomal RNA, 303 nt
Filed under: uncultured bacterium
Lineage: Bacteria
Description: bacterial SSU rRNA
Rfam family: Bacterial small subunit ribosomal RNA
Source: RNAcentral